RNAcentral lists this ribosomal RNA (484 nucleotides) under uncultured bacterium. RNAcentral describes it as "partial 16S ribosomal RNA". It matches the Rfam family "Bacterial small subunit ribosomal RNA", at positions 30 to 507 of the family's 1533-position model. The record is from RNAcentral.
AUUGAACGCUGGCGGCAGGCCUAACACAUGCAAGUCGAGCGGAAGAAGGGAGCUUGCUCCUGGAUCCAGCGGCGGACGGGUGAGUAAUGCCUAGGAACCUGCCUGGUCGUGGGGGAUAACGUCCCGAAACGGGCGCUAAUACCGCAUACGUCCUGAGGGAGAAAGCGGGGGAUCUUCGGACCUCACGCUAUCAGAUGAGCCUAGGUCGGAUUAGCUAGUUGGUGGGGUAAAGGCCUACCAAGGCGACGAUCCGUAACUGGUCUGAGAGGAUGAUCAGUCACACUGGAACUGAGACACGGUCCAGACUCCUACGGGAGGCAGCAGUGGGGAAUUUUGGACAAUGGGCGAAAGCCUGAUCCAGCCAUGCCGCGUGUGUGAAGAAGGUCUUCGGAUUGUAAAGCACUUUAAGUUGGGAGGAAGGGCAGUAAGUUAAUACCUUGCUGUUUUGACGUUACCAACAGAAUAAGCACCGGCUAACUUCGUG